RNAcentral lists this long non-coding RNA (1018 nucleotides) under Homo sapiens (human). RNAcentral describes it as "HSALNT0234100". Lineage: Eukaryota; Metazoa; Chordata; Mammalia; Primates; Hominidae. The record is from RNAcentral.
CCAGUCACUGCUUUUAAUAAACUCUUUGGCUACAAAGAUGAAACAGGCAGACAACAGCAACAAAGAAGAUAUUAUUAACAUAAUUUCAUGUAAUUGGAUAGAAGGGUAAUAUUUAUUUUAAUAUUACAGAGGAAAUAUCCCACAAUGCAGACCCUGGAUUAAUUCUUUAUAUCUUUAGACUGCACUUAUCAAAUAAAAUUGUACUUAUGGAAAAAGCAAACACAUAAAUCUUGCCUCAUUGUUGGCGGGCAACCCUAGCAAGGGCUAAUUGUAUUAUAUAUCUUCUGCAGCUCUGCCUAGUGUUUGCCAGGAGGAAAAAGAAAGACCCCCAAUGAGUGUGACCUACAAGAGUCUUCCAUGAAGAUCAACAUCUAAGUUUCCCUUGAGAGACACCAAAUCAAAUCUCAAGGAGUGGCCUCCGGAACACCAUUAGGAUGAAGCUUCAUCAAGAGAGUCACAAUUCUCAAAAGCAUAAGAGGCAAUCGACUGCAUCUAACGAGAUACAACCAGGAUAUGGACGUCUUCUCAGUAUUUCACUUCUUGUCGUCAAUCCAGUGGAAACUCCAAAAUACCACUGAAUGAACGAUUCUCAAGUCAACACUGAAGAACGCAUCAAGAUUUCCAUUAAAAAAAAACAGAAAACCCAGCAUGUACCCAGGCUUUUAUUCAUUUGUAUACCUAUAAGAAGCAGCUGCAACUUUACAUACAAGUGAUUUCUUUUUACAUAAAAUGUUUUUUGCCAUUUUUAGUCACUGAAGCAUUAAAAAAAAUAAAUACAGUGGAAGCAUUUGAAAGGGCUUGCUUUAAAAAAUAAUUUCGUUGGUUUACUGAAUGACUAGUUCUUGGUUUUUUGAAAAGUUUGUCGUACAUCCUGUUCCCAAUUCAAUUUGCUUUUACCCUCAUAGACCUCUGUGCUUUUAAUUGCUACUCUGAUUUUUGAGGCAAAGAUUUCUUUCUCCUGAAGAUGUUCUGCUGCCUGAGAUAAAUGAUAUUCGGGGAUUUUGAAAGUACUUUUAAG